AAUAUAAACCUGUUGCAGGUUAACAACUCCAGCCAAACUAUAACCAAAUGUAGUAUGAUUACGAGGAUUUUUCUUAAGAGAAAGUUCAAGGUUGCAAAAUGACAUAUUUGUUGCUUGAAACAGCAGUUAUCAACAAGAACAAUGGAUUGCCAAUUUUGCUUGUGCUGGUAAUAUAUUAUGGCCGGUCAACAGCAAUGUUCAUAAUAUGAAUCUCAAUACAAUUUCAUCGACAAGGUUAACAUCAUCCGGCUGAUGGGAGAAUAUAAUCAUGUACAUUUAUACUCGUCUGUGUUAAAUCUCCGAGGACACCCUUGAUCCUUCCUCCAUCUGCCGCCUCCAUCUGCCGCCCCCAACUUUGCUGCUGAAGGAGCAGCACUUGCGGAAUCCUGACGGUAUUUCCCAGAAUUCAGGUAGGAAAAUGUUUCACCUUUUCUCCCCCCCCCUCCUUAUUUCGUAUCGUUCAUAAAUAGAGAAUAAGUGUGAAUGGAGAGUAUAGUUGGCGGCAUAUAAUCUCCGUUCGUCUUAUCGUAGAAAAUCCCGAUAAAAACUGUUAAGAU
This is a long non-coding RNA of Daphnia pulex (common water flea), 557 nucleotides long. RefSeq lists it as uncharacterized. The transcript has 3 exons. The record is from RefSeq and is a predicted model, not a curated record. Lineage: Eukaryota; Metazoa; Arthropoda; Branchiopoda; Diplostraca; Daphniidae.